GGCGCAAGCCUGAUGCAGCCAUGCCGCGUGUGUGAAGAAGGCCUUCGGGUUGUAAAGCACUUUCAGUAAGGAGGAAAGGUUAAGUGUUAAUAGCACUUAGCUGUGACGUUACUUACAGAAGAAGCACCGGCUAACUCCGUGCCAGCAGCCGCGGUAAUACGGAGGGUGCGAGCGUUAAUCGGAAUUACUGGGCGUAAAGCGUACGCAGGCGGUUUGUUAAGCGAGAUGUGAAAGCCCCGGGCUCAACCUGGGAACUGCAUUUCGAACUGGCAAACUAGAGUGUGAUAGAGGGUGGUAGAAUUUCAGGUGUAGCGGUGAAAUGCGUAGAGAUCUGAAGGAAUACCGAUGGCGAAGGCAGCCACCUGGGUCAACACUGACGCUCAUGUACGAAAGCGUGGGGAGCAAACAGGAUUAGAUACCCUGGUAGUCCACGCCGUAAACGAUGUCUACUAGAAGCUCGGGUCUUCGGACUUGUUUUUCAAAGCUAACGCAUUAAGUAGACCGCCUG
This 508-nucleotide ribosomal RNA is filed under the name Pseudoalteromonas sp. QPW_2_18. RNAcentral's name for it is "bacterial SSU rRNA". It matches the Rfam family "Bacterial small subunit ribosomal RNA", at positions 374 to 875 of the family's 1533-position model. The record is from RNAcentral. Lineage: Bacteria; Pseudomonadati; Pseudomonadota; Gammaproteobacteria; Alteromonadales; Pseudoalteromonadaceae.